RNAcentral lists this ribosomal RNA (196 nucleotides) under uncultured crenarchaeote. RNAcentral describes it as "partial 16S ribosomal RNA". It matches the Rfam family "Archaeal small subunit ribosomal RNA", at positions 488 to 684 of the family's 1478-position model. Lineage: Archaea; Thermoproteati; Thermoproteota. The record is from RNAcentral.
GUGGUGUGGAUGUUUAUUGGGCCUAAAGCAUCCGUAGCUGGCUAGGUCAGUCCCUUGUUAAAUCCACCGAAUUAAUCGUUGGAUUGCGGGGGAUACUGCUUGGCUAGGGGACGAGAGAGGCAGACGGUAUUUCCGGGGUAGGGGUGAAAUCCUAUAAUCCCGGGAAGACCACCAGUGGCGAAGGCUGUCGGCUAGA